UCAUCUCUCCUCGACUGAA
RNAcentral lists this microRNA (19 nucleotides) under Prunus persica (peach). RNAcentral describes it as "ppe-miR5225-3p". The record is from miRBase by way of RNAcentral. Lineage: Eukaryota; Viridiplantae; Streptophyta; Magnoliopsida; Rosales; Rosaceae.